UACGAAGGGGGCUAGCGUUGCUCGGAAUCACUGGGCGUAAAGGGUGUGUAGGCGGGUCUUUAAGUCAGGGGUGAAAUCCUGGAGCUCAACUCCAGAACUGCCUUUGAUACUGAAGAUCUUGAGUUCGGGAGAGGUGAGUGGAACUGCGAGUGUAGAGGUGAAAUUCGUAGAUAUUCGCAAGAACACCAGUGGCGAAGGCGACUCUUUGGCCUGUAACUGACGCUGAGGCGCGAAAGCGUGGGGAGCAAACAGG
RNAcentral lists this ribosomal RNA (253 nucleotides) under uncultured bacterium. RNAcentral's name for it is "partial 16S ribosomal RNA". It matches the Rfam family "Bacterial small subunit ribosomal RNA", at positions 524 to 776 of the family's 1533-position model. The record is from RNAcentral.